Molecule: ribosomal RNA, 245 nt
Filed under: uncultured bacterium
Lineage: Bacteria
Description: partial small subunit ribosomal RNA
Rfam family: Bacterial small subunit ribosomal RNA
Source: RNAcentral
AGAAUCAACGCUGGCGGCGUGCCUAACACAUGCAAGUCGCACGAGAAAGGGGAGCAAUCCCUGAGUAAAGUGGCGCACGGGUGAGUAACACGUGAAUAAUCUACCUCCGAGUGGGGAAUAACUGAGAGAAAUCUUAGCUAAUACCGCAUAACACUUACGAGUCAAAGCAGCAAUGCGCUUGGAGAGGAGUUCGCGGCCGAUUAGUUAGUUGGCGGGGUAAUGGCCCACCAAGACUGUGAUCGGUA